RNAcentral lists this long non-coding RNA (900 nucleotides) under Homo sapiens (human). RNAcentral's name for it is "HSALNT0220391". The record is from RNAcentral. Lineage: Eukaryota; Metazoa; Chordata; Mammalia; Primates; Hominidae.
AGGAGCAACUUUAAGGAAUAGUUCCAGUAGCUUAAGCAAAAUACAUCCUUAUUGGGUUAAAAUAUUCCAGUUCAAUUAUUUCAAACAUAAUAGCUUUGCUAAAGAGUAUCAAGUUCAAACUUCUCAAAAUUGAGUUUUAAUUUUUCUCACAUUUUAAUAGCAAACAGAAUAUUUCAAAUAAAAAUACAAGCUCUGUAAAAUUAGCAUGUUUGAUGUCUUAGGUACAUAUGAUUAUUAUAAAAUUUAAAAUAGGUGCUCAAAGAAGAGACUUUUUCCUAUCUGAACAUUUCCCCAAGUUUAGAAAACAAAGCUCACUAUUAUUAAUUAAUUAGAUCUAAAGUAGGCUAAUACUUCAUUUACUCAUACAUGGAAUCAUUUCAAAAUUUGUAGCAACACUAGCCCUUAAAAAAUUCUCAAUAUUAUUAUAGACCAAAAUAUGUAUCCUGGUAAAGACUGAAUUAAAUUCAAUUGUUGCUUGGUUAUGAAUAAUUGAAGGAAUAUUAUUUUUAAAGUACUCGUUUUGAAACAAAACCCCAAGCUGCUGAUCUGACUUUAACCAAAUUACCAACACAUCAAUAGGUAACUUGGUACCCAUGCUUUCAGAAGCUCAUCCGUGGCACUGGACAUCACUCACUGAAUCAAAAUGAGAAAUAUAUCAAUAUCAUAAUCCAGUUUUUGAAAUCUAGUGAGUCUUAAGAUUAAGGCUAAUACAUUCAACAACCACACCUCAUAAGCCAGGAGUUCAAAUCAUGUUUAUACACAGUUAAACUGUAUACAGAAUAGAAGACAUAUAAUUAACCACUAAAGCUGGCAGUCUCCAAACAAGAGGUGAAUGUGUUACCUCCGAGUUUAUGAUUCAUUAUUAUCACAACUGACAGCUAGCUUUCCACUGACCCACAC